ACGGAAGGCAGCAGUGGGGGAUAUUGCACAAUGGGCGAAAGCCUGAUGCAGCAACGCCGCGUGAGGGAAGACGGUUUUCGGAUUGUAAACCUCUGUCUUUGGUGAAGAAAGAAAUGACGGUAGCCGAGGAGGAAGCCACGGCUAACUACGUGCCAGCAGCCGCGGUAAUACGUAGGUGGCGAGCGUUGUCCGGAAUUACUGGGUGUAAAGGGAGCGCAGGCGGGAAUGCAAGUUGGAUGUGAAAUACCGGGGCUCAACCCCGGAGCUGCAUCCAAAACUGUAUUUCUUGAGUGAAGUAGAGGUAGGCGGAAUUCCGAGUGUAGCGGUGAAAUGCGUAGAUAUUCGGAGGAACACCAGUGGCGAAGGCGGCCUACUGGGCUUUUACUGACGCUGAGGCUCGAAAGUGUGGGGAGCAAACAGGAUUAGAUACCCUGGUA
Molecule: ribosomal RNA, 437 nt
Rfam family: Bacterial small subunit ribosomal RNA